GCCCAGGUGAUGAAACGGAAAACAUGCAACACUUAAAAUGUUGUGGGCGUAAGCCCUUGUGGGUUCGAUUCCCACCCUGGGCACCA
Molecule: transfer RNA, 86 nt
Filed under: bacterium
Lineage: Bacteria
Description: tRNA-Leu
Rfam family: tRNA
About the family: Transfer RNA (tRNA) molecules are approximately 80 nucleotides in length. Their secondary structure includes four short double-helical elements and three loops (D, anti-codon, and T loops).
Source: RNAcentral